Molecule: ribosomal RNA, 67 nt
Filed under: Fusarium oxysporum
Lineage: Eukaryota; Fungi; Ascomycota; Sordariomycetes; Hypocreales; Nectriaceae
Description: partial 28S ribosomal RNA
Source: RNAcentral
AACUUCUGAAUGUUGACCUCGGAUCAGGUAGGAAUACCCGCUGAACUUAAGCAUAUCAAUAAGCGGA